GGUUACUGCUAUCGGUGUUCGCCUAAGCCAUGCGAGUCAUAUGUUCUUCGGAACAUGGCGUACUGCUCAGUAACACGUGGAUAACCUGCCCUUGGGUCCGGCAUAACCCCGGGAAACUGGGGAUAAUUCCGGAUAACGCACAUAUGCUGGAAUGCUUUAUGCGUCAAAUGGAUUCGUCCGCCCAAGGAUGGGUCUGCGGCCUAUCAGGUAGUAGUGGGUGUAAUGUACCUACUAGCCUACGACGGGUACGGGUUGUGAGAGCAAGAGCCCGGAGAUGGAUUCUGAGACAUGAAUCCAGGCCCUACGGGGCGCAGCAGGCGCGAAAACUUUACAAUGCGGGAAACCGUGAUAAGGGGACACCGAGUGCCAGCAUCAUAUGUUGGCUGUCCGGGUGUGUAAAAUACACCUGUUAGCAAGGGCCGGGCAAGACCGGUGCCAGCCGCCGCGGUAACACCGGCGGCCCGAGUGGUGAUCGUGAUUAUUGGGUCUAAAGGGUCCGUAGCCGGUUUGGUCAGUCCUCCGGGAAAUCUGACGGCUUAACCGUUAGGCUUUCGGGGGAUACUGCCAGACUUGGAACCGGGAGAGGUAAGAGGUACUACAGGGGUAGGAGUGAAAUCUUGUAAUCCCUGUGGGACCACCUGUGGCGAAGGCGUCUUACCAGAACGGGUUCGACGGUGAGGGACGAAAGCUGGGGGCACGAACCGGAUUAGAUACCCGGGUAGUCCCAGCCGUAAACGAUGCUCGCUAGGUGUCAGGCAUGGCGCGACCGUGUCUGGUGCCGCAGGGAAGCCGUGAAGCGAGCCACCUGGGAAGUACGGCCGCAAGGCUGAAACUUAA
This 837-nucleotide ribosomal RNA is filed under the name uncultured archaeon. Its description in RNAcentral is "bacterial SSU rRNA". It matches the Rfam family "Archaeal small subunit ribosomal RNA", at positions 21 to 859 of the family's 1478-position model. The record is from RNAcentral.